Molecule: unclassified non-coding RNA, 335 nt
Filed under: soil metagenome
Description: partial contains 5.8S ribosomal RNA, internal transcribed spacer 2, and large subunit ribosomal RNA
Rfam family: 5.8S ribosomal RNA (bases 1-119)
Source: RNAcentral
GAUGAAGAACGCAGCGAAAUGCGAUAAGUAUGUGAAUUGCAGAAUUCAGUGAAUCAUCGAAUCUUUGAACGCACAUUGCGCCCGCCAGUAUUCUGGCGGGCAUGCCUGUUCGAGCGUCAUUUCAACCAUCAAGCCCCAGGCUUGUGUUGGGGACCUGCGGCUGCCGCAGGCCCUGAAAACCAGUGGCGGGCUCGCUGUCACACCGGGCGUAGUAGAUUUUAUCUCGCUCAGGGCGUGCUGCGGGUUCCGGCCGUUAAAAAGCCUUUUUUACCCAAGGUUGACCUCGGAUCAGGUAGGAAGACCCGCUGAACUUAAGCAUAUCAAUAAGCGGAGGA